UUCGCCCUUAGAGUUUGAUCCUGGCUCAGGACGAACGCUGGCGGCGCGCCUAACACAUGCAAGUCGAACGGAGCUGAGAGGAGCUUGCUUUUCUUAGCUUAGUGGCGAACGGGUGAGUAACGCGUGAGUAACCUGCCCUGGAGUGGGGGACAACAGUUGGAAACGACUGCUAAUACCGCAUAAGCCCACGGCCCGGCAUCGGGCUGAGGGAAAAGGAUUUAUUCGCUUCAGGAUGGACUCGCGUCCAAUUAGCUAGUUGGUGAGGUAACGGCCCACCAAGGCGACGAUUGGUAGCCGGACUGAGAGGUUGAACGGCCACAUUGGGACUGAGACACGGCCCAGACUCCUACGGGAGGCAGCAGUGGGGGAUAUUGCACAAUGGGGGAAACCCUGAUGCAGCGACGCCGCGUGGAGGAAGAAGGUUUUCGGAUUGUAAACUCCUGUCGUUAGGGACGAUAAUGACGGUACCUAACAAGAAAGCACCGGCUAACUACGUGCCAGCAGCCGCGGUAAAACGUAGGGUGCAAGCGUUGUCCGGAAUUACUGGGUGUAAAGGGAGCGCAGGCGGGAAGACAAGUUGGAAGUGAAAUCUAUGGGCUCAACCCAUAAACUGCUUUCAAAACUGUUUUUCUUGAGUAGUGCAGAGGUAGGCGGAAUUCCCGGUGUAGCGGUGGAAUGCGUAGAUAUCGGGAGGAACACCAGUGGCGAAGGCGGCCUACUGGGCACCAACUGACGCUGAGGCUCGAAAGUGUGGGUAGCAAACAGGAUUAGAUACCCUGGUAGUCCACACCGUAAACGAUGAUUACUAGGUGUUGGAGGAUUGACCCCUUCAGUGCCGCAGUUAACACAAUAAGUAAUCCACCUGGGGAGUACGACCGCAAGGUUGAAACUCAAAGGAAUUGACGGGGGCCCGCACAAGCAGUGGAGUAUGUGGUUUAAUUCGACGCAACGCGAAGAACCUUACCAAGUCUUGACAUCCCUUGACGAACAUAGAAAUAUGUUUUCUCUUCGGAGCAAGGAGACAGGUGGUGCAUGGUUGUCGUCAGCUCGUGUCGUGAGAUGUUGGGUUAAGUCCCGCAACGAGCGCAACCCUUACUGUCAGUUACUACGCAAGAGGACUCUGGCAGGACUGCCGUUGACAAAACGGAGGAAGGUGGGGAUGACGUCAAAUCAUCAUGCCCUUUAUGACUUGGGCUACACACGUACUACAAUGGCGUUAAACAAAGAGAAGCAAGACCGCGAGGUGGAGCAAAACUCAGAAACAACGUCCCAGUUCGGACUGCAGGCUGCAACUCGCCUGCACGAAGUCGGAAUUGCUAGUAAUCGUGGAUCAGCAUGCCACGGUGAAUACGUUCCCGGGCCUUGCACUCACCGCCCGUCA
This 1381-nucleotide ribosomal RNA is filed under the name uncultured bacterium. RNAcentral describes it as "16S ribosomal RNA". It matches the Rfam family "Bacterial small subunit ribosomal RNA". The record is from RNAcentral.